UUUCCGUAGGUGAACCUGCGGAGGGAUCAUUACCAGAGAUGGCGGGCUCCCGCGCCCCCGUCCCCAACCCAUUGUUGACCAAAACUCUUUUUGCCUCGGGGGCAGAGCGUCCGCCGCCGCCCCCGGAGGACCACUGAACGCUGUCUCUUUGCGUCAGAGGAAUUGAUGAAAUAAAUGAAAACUUUCAACAACGGAUCUCUUGGUUCUG
This 208-nucleotide unclassified non-coding RNA is filed under the name soil metagenome. RNAcentral's name for it is "partial contains small subunit ribosomal RNA, internal transcribed spacer 1, and 5.8S ribosomal RNA". The record is from RNAcentral.